This is a long non-coding RNA of Arachis stenosperma, 1109 nucleotides long. RefSeq lists it as uncharacterized. The record is from RefSeq and is a predicted model, not a curated record. Lineage: Eukaryota; Viridiplantae; Streptophyta; Magnoliopsida; Fabales; Fabaceae. The transcript is spliced from 4 exons.
AGGGAUGUUUGAUGAUUUUGCUCUCUUUGUGCAAAAUCCGGGUAAAUGACGAAUAAUUAACUAAUAAAUGAAUUAUGAACAAAAGGGUUAAGAAAUUAAAAUUUUAUAGUUGAAGAAAAUAAAAAUAAUUAGAAUACGAAUUUAAAAGUUAAUCUUAAAAGUUUUGGCAAAAAAUUAAGCCAACUGAUUAAAACGAGUGAAUUGGGCCCAUGUUGGGCCCAAAGUCCAAUCAUUAACACCCUUAAUCAGCCUCACUGCAGCACACUCCCCCUCACUAUUCAUCCUCCACUUUGAUUGUUCAUAAUUUUUGCUUUGGAACUCUUAUUGAUGAGUCAUUUAUGACCACGUGUUCAUCUCAGAAUCCUCUUUAAUUCUAUUUAAACACUACGGGCUACUCUAACAUGGAUUCCAAGUGGCUUCCAUCCCAAAAUUGAGUGGCUUAAGAUGGAAUAGAGCUUGUUCGGAUUGAUUUUAGGGUGAAGCAGAGCUAUCCUAGUGAAAUUUGGUGUGGAGUUAAUUUAAGAAUUAUUUUGGUGUGAAAUUGGUGGAGUUUGGACCGGUGGACAUUGGGAAUUCGCCGGAGAAAAGCUUCCGAAGUUAAGACUGCUGUCAACGAAGAUGGAUUAAAGAUUGCCCAUGAUGCAUCGGAUAAGAUUGGAAAAAGUGUGAAAUAUGUAAGGCGUUCGAAAAGUAGAAUGAUAAAGUUCAAAAAAUGUGUUUCAGCGAUUCAGAACUUGAAAUUUACAAGUGGGUUACAUCUAGAUGUUACUACUAGAUGAAAUUUUACUUACAUUAUACUCGAGAGUGCUAUCAAGUAUCGGAAGGCCUUUGAGUAUUUAAAGGAAGCUGAUCAUGCUUAUAAGCGUUGUCCUUCGAUUGAUAAAUGGAGGAGAACCGAAAAGAUGUGUGAAUUUGUAUAUCCUUUCUAAGAAAUUUCUAAUUUAAUGUAUGACAUAUCUUAUUCUACCUCGAACUUGUAUUUCUUACAAGUUUAUCAUAUUCAAUGUGUUUUGAUAAAAAAUUUGAAAAGUGAAGAUGGAGUUCUAAGAAAUAUAGGAGAAAAGAUGAUGAACGAAUUUAAGAAGUAUUAAGAGAAGUAUAUUGUCAUU